UUGCUCUUCAACGAGGAAUGCCUAGUAAGCGCAUGUCAUCAGCAUGCGUUGAUUACGUCCCUGCCCUUUGUACACACCGCCCGUCGCUACUACCGAUUGAAUGGCUCAGUGAGGCGUUCGGACUGGCCCAGGGAGGUCGGCAACGACCACCCAGGGCCGGAAAGUUCGUCAAACUUGGUCAUUUAGAGGAAGUAAAAGUCGUAACAAGGUCUCCGUAGGUGAACCUGCGGAGGGAUCAUUACUGAGUGAGCGCUCUCGGGCGCGACCUCCAACCCUUUGUAUUCCGACCACGUUGCCUCGGGGGCGACCCGGCCUUUGGGCGUUGGGGCCCCCGGUGGACAUUCAACUCUGCAUCUUUGCGUCUGAGUAUGAUAUUGAAUCAAUCAAAACUUUCAACAACGGAUCUCUUGGUUCUGGCAUCGAUGAAGAACGCAGCGAAAUGCGAUAAGUAAUGUGAAUUGCAGAAUUCAGUGAAUCAUCGAAUCUUUGAACGCACAUUGCGCCCCUCGGUAUUCCGGGGGGCAUGCCUGUUCGAGCGUCAUUACACCCCUCCAGCCUCGCUGGUGUUUGGGCGUCGCGGAUGCACAGUCUGCGCGCCUUAAUGUCGCCGGCCGGACCGACCGUCUCUAAGCGUUGUGGUAACAGUUCGCUUGCGGGCACGGGAGGGACGUAGCCGUUAAACCUCUAUCACAGGUUGACCUCGGAUCAGGUAGGGAUACCCGCUGAACUUAAGCAUAUCAAUAAGCGGAGGA
Molecule: ribosomal RNA, 752 nt
Filed under: uncultured fungus
Lineage: Eukaryota; Fungi
Description: eukaryotic LSU rRNA
Rfam family: Eukaryotic small subunit ribosomal RNA (bases 1-241)
Source: RNAcentral